This 81-nucleotide non-coding RNA is filed under the name Mycobacterium sp. The record is from RNAcentral. Lineage: Bacteria; Bacillati; Actinomycetota; Actinomycetes; Mycobacteriales; Mycobacteriaceae.
GGGAAUCCGGUGGGAAUCCGGGACGGUCGCGCCACUGUGACCGCGGCGGCCGCUGAUGCGGACCGGUGCGGGAGUCAGACC